RNAcentral lists this ribosomal RNA (464 nucleotides) under uncultured bacterium. RNAcentral describes it as "bacterial SSU rRNA". It matches the Rfam family "Bacterial small subunit ribosomal RNA", at positions 338 to 795 of the family's 1533-position model. The record is from RNAcentral.
CCUACGGGUGGCAGCAGUGGGGAAUAUUGCACAAUGGCGCAAGCCUGAUGCAGCCAUGCCGCGUGUGUGAAGAAGGCCUUCAGGUUGUAAAGCACUUUCAGCGGGGAGGAAGGCGCCAAGGUUAAUAACCUUGGCGAUUGACGUUACCCGCAGAAGAAGCACCGGCUAACUCCGUGCCAGCAGCCGCGGUAAUACGGAGGGUGCAAGCGUUAAUCGGAAUUACUGGGCGUAAAGCGCACGCAGGCGGUCUGUCAAGUCGGAUGUGAAAUCCCCGGGCUCAACCUGGGAACUGCAUUCGAAACUGGCAGGCUAGAGUCUUGUAGAGGGGGGUAGAAUUCCGGGUGUAGCGGUGAAAUGCGUAGAGAUCUGGAGGAAUACCGGUGGCGAAGGCGGCCCCCUGGACAAAGACUGACGCUCAGGUGCGAAAGCGUGGGGAGCAAACAGGAUUAGAUACCCGCGUAGUC